Non-coding RNA from Oryctolagus cuniculus (rabbit), 601 nucleotides. The record is from RefSeq and is a predicted model, not a curated record. Lineage: Eukaryota; Metazoa; Chordata; Mammalia; Lagomorpha; Leporidae.
AUAAAAGCUAGGAAGCAGCCAGUGGUUAAUCGUCCAGCGCAUUAGCAGGACAAUACUUAGCUAAGGCUUUCCCAGGACAGAUGACUCACAAUCAGCUGGGCUGGCCAGCGGGAAGCCAGAGGAAACAGAAUCCCACUGGAUCUCACAAGACAGCUCUGUUAGAAAGCAGGAGAGGUGUGGGAGGGGAGGUUCCAAGAGGCAUUGGCAAAUAGGGGAAAGAUCAAGGUCGCUGUCAGAGACAGUGAGCAGAAUGGCUCCACCAGAACCCAGGGUUCAUUAGCGGCAUUCUGAAAGGGUGCCUGGCAAUCUGGAAAGGAUUUGUCUCUGGCCUCCUUGACCUCUGCUCGCUCGAUUGUUCAACAAACAUUAGUUGAGAGCUUCACUCAUACAGGCCAUGUGGAUCCAGGUGAGGACGAGCCAUAGGAAACAGUACACAGGCUAAAGCAUGGAACGGUCAUGACCCCACUUUGACCAUGCAGCUGAGGACAACAUCCUAGGAACCAUGAUGCAACAGGAUGAGGAGGAAGCCACAGCCCAGCUGACCCCUCAGGGCUGCGCAGCACCGCCAGUCUGACCACUUGCUUCUGCUCUUUCUUGAGAA